This 384-nucleotide ribosomal RNA is filed under the name uncultured bacterium. Its description in RNAcentral is "bacterial SSU rRNA". It matches the Rfam family "Bacterial small subunit ribosomal RNA", at positions 28 to 412 of the family's 1533-position model. The record is from RNAcentral.
GACGAACGCUGGCGGCGUGCUUAACACAUGCAAGUCGAGCGGUAAGGCCCUUUCGGGGGUACACGAGCGGCGAACGGGUGAGUAACACGUGGGUGACCUGCCCUCAGCUCUGGGAUAAGCCUGGGAAACCGGGUACUAAUACCGGAUAUGACUCCAUGACGCAUGUUGUGGGGUGGAAAGCCUUGUGCGGCUGAGGAUGGGCCCGCGGCCUAUCAGCUUGUUGGUGGGGUGAUGGCCUACCAAGGCGACGACGGGUAGCCGGCCUGAGAGGGCGACCGGCCACACUGGGACUGAGACACGGCCCAGACUCCUACGGGAGGCAGCAGGUGGGGAAUCUUGCGCAAUGGGCGAAAGCCUGACGCAGCGACGCCGCGUGAGGAUGAC